This 381-nucleotide unclassified non-coding RNA is filed under the name Hevea brasiliensis (rubber tree). The record is from RNAcentral. Lineage: Eukaryota; Viridiplantae; Streptophyta; Magnoliopsida; Malpighiales; Euphorbiaceae.
UAAAAAAAAAAAAAAAACCCUCAAAUAGUUAAUGCACUUUCAUUUUCUUUAUCUCUUUAAUGAAUUAAAUUUGGAAAGCUCUUCUUCAGAUUAGUACAAUAGUUGUACCUACAUUUUUCUGCACCCUAUCGGUUUACGGUUCAGAAUCUGUUAUAAAAAAGUGUUUUUCAGUUUGCAAAAACAAAUCAAUUAUUUACCUUCUUAUUUUAUGAUCAAUGGGUUUAUGUGAACUAAUAUAUGAUUUUCUUUUACUCUUUCUGGAAUACAAAGGAUGAAUCUUAGUCUUAAUAACAUGCACUUUUACUAAAUGACAAAAACAGAGUGUUGCUUAGAUGUAUUUUGCUUGUGUUAAAUUUUAAAUGCAGUUUAUUUCAAUCUUUG